GACGAACGCUGGCGGCGUGCUUAACACAUGCAAGUCGAACGAUGAAGCGGUGCUUGCACCGUGGAUUAGUGGCGAACGGGUGAGUAAUACGUGAGUGACCUACCUUUGACUCUGGGAUAAGCCUGGGAAACUGGGUCUAAUACCUGAUACGACCAAUCUCUGCAUGGGGUGUUGGUGGCAACCGUUAUGGUGUGGUUUUAGAUGGGCUCACGGCCUAUCAGCUUGGUGGUGAGGUAAUGGCUUACCAAGGCGACGACGGGUAGCCGGCCUGAGAGGGUGAACGGCCACACUGCGACUGAGACACGGCCCAGACUCCUACGGGAGGCAGCAGUGGGGAAUAUUGCACAAUGGGCGCAAGCCUGAGGCAGCGACGCCGCGUGAGGGAUGACGGCCUUCGGGUUGUAAACCUCUGUUAGCAACGAAGAAGCGAAAGUGACGGUAGGUGCAGAGAAAGCGCCGGCUAACUACGUG
RNAcentral lists this ribosomal RNA (471 nucleotides) under uncultured bacterium. RNAcentral describes it as "partial 16S ribosomal RNA". It matches the Rfam family "Bacterial small subunit ribosomal RNA", at positions 28 to 507 of the family's 1533-position model. The record is from RNAcentral.